This 455-nucleotide ribosomal RNA is filed under the name uncultured Mogibacterium sp. RNAcentral describes it as "bacterial SSU rRNA". It matches the Rfam family "Bacterial small subunit ribosomal RNA", at positions 58 to 528 of the family's 1533-position model. The record is from RNAcentral. Lineage: Bacteria; Bacillati; Bacillota; Clostridia; Peptostreptococcales; Anaerovoracaceae.
CCCGCCGCGCCCCGCGCCCGUCCCACCGCCCCCGCCCGUGGCGGACGGGUGAGUAACGCGUAGGCAACCUGCCCCUUGCAGAGGGAUAGCCAUUGGAAACGAUGAUUAAAACCUCAUAACACCGCAUUGUCACAUGAUGGAGCGGUCAAAGAUUUAUCGGCAAGGGAUGGGCCUGCGUCUGAUUAGCUAGUUGGUGAGGUAACGGCUCACCAAGGCGACGAUCAGUAGCCGACCUGAGAGGGUGAUCGGCCACAUUGGAACUGAGACACGGUCCAAACUUCUACGGAAGGCAGCAGUAGGGAAUCUUGCACAAUGGGCGAAAGCCUGAUGCAGCAACGCCGCGUGAACGAAGAAGGCCUUCGGGUUGUAAAGUUCUGUUCUUAGGGAAGAAACAAAUGACGGUACCUAAGAAGCAAGCCCCGGCUAACUACGUGCCAGCAGCCGCGGUAAUACGA